Molecule: long non-coding RNA, 1296 nt
Filed under: Apteryx owenii (little spotted kiwi)
Lineage: Eukaryota; Metazoa; Chordata; Aves; Apterygiformes; Apterygidae
Description: lncRNA (ENSAOWG00000003382.1)
Source: RNAcentral
CUGCAGAUGUAUUUCAGCUAGAAGCUACUGUGAUUUUUCCUAAUAUCUCAAGCACCAUUCUGCCAAUGUAUCUUAUUUCUGAUCUAAAACAUCCCUCAUUUCUUAUUCCCAUUCCCAACCCUUUUUUCUUUCCUUCCCUACUCUCAGAAGGAGCAUUUUCUAGCUGUUAAAGCACAUGACUGAAAAGUCAAUGAUUCCAUAUGUUUUGUUCCUCCAGUGUCUUACUUUGUAAUCUUGGGCAAGUUGUUUAACUUCAGAUUUCCUAUCUGUAAAAUGAUGGUCACUGCCAUGUAUUCCUAAGUAUCCAGAGCACAGUGAACAGAGGCAGUGAACAGAUGCAGCAGUUUGUGCAGAAGGGCGCACGAAGGUACCUUCGUUUCUGUUCCCUGUGGUGUACACUUCCUCAAGUAUGGUUGUGACACGCCGCACAGCGCGUUCCCCAGUGGCUGUUGGAGUUGCUGUGUCAGAGGCUGCGACCCAGACCGACCCUCUGACAGUAGAUGCAGCUCUACAGGUCUCAGGCUGCAGGGAGUGCUUGGGGCCUCUCCGGGAGGCCUGGGCUGGCAGUCAGCUCUCCUGCAGGAGGUGUGCUGCUGUUGACGAGUUGUGUUGUCAGGUAAGGGAGUUACGGGAGGAGGUCAGUAGGCUGCGCAGCAUCCGAGAAGCAGAGCAAGAGAUAGACAGGGUAUUCUCGGAGACUGUGCAGCUUCGGGAGUCCCAACCCCCCACAGCAGUGGAGUUGCCGGAGGGCUCUGUGCCGUGUGAAACGGUACAUCAUGACACCGUAGAAGAAGGCUGGAAACUGGUCACUGCAUGUGGGAGGAGAAAGGCUCCUACUCCUCCCGAAGACUUGCAGCUGAAGAACAGGUUUAGUGCCCUCCAGGAUGAGGAGGAGAUGGGCAUGGCUGCAAGGGAAGUAACUGGGACAACAGACCCUGUGCCCUGCCGGAACGCCUGGGAGAAGCAGCGGGUGACUGUUGUGGGGGACUUCCUGCUGCAGGGGACGGAGGCAUCUAUCUGCCAACCUGACCUCAUGUCUAGAGAGGUUUGUGGCCUGCCAGGGGCUCGCAUGCAAGACGUCAUAGAAAGACUGCCAAGGCUUGUCCAUGCUUCAGACUAUUACCCACUGCUGCUCUUCCAUGUGGGCGCCAAUGACACCAAGGGCAAACUGGAGACCAUCAAGCAGGAUUUCAGAGCUCUGGAGAUGGUGGUCAAGGGUCUGGGAGCCCAGGUCAUCUUCUCCUCAAUCCUGCCAGUGAGGGGGAUGGAUGAGAGGAGGAGGAGAGAGACUUUCCA